AAUGUGUUUAUUGUGUAUGUAAAUGUAUAUGUAUGUGUGUGUAUAUAUAUAUAUAUAUAUAUAUAUAUAUAUACACACACAUACAUAUACAUUUACAUACACAAUAAACACAUU
RNAcentral lists this microRNA precursor (114 nucleotides) under Marmota monax (woodchuck). The record is from RNAcentral. Lineage: Eukaryota; Metazoa; Chordata; Mammalia; Rodentia; Sciuridae.